This 164-nucleotide ribosomal RNA is filed under the name Chrysophyllum venezuelanense. RNAcentral describes it as "5.8S ribosomal RNA". It matches the Rfam family "5.8S ribosomal RNA". From Rfam's summary of the family: 5.8S ribosomal RNA (5.8S rRNA) is a component of the large subunit of the eukaryotic ribosome. It is transcribed by RNA polymerase I as part of the 45S precursor that also contains 18S and 28S rRNA. Functionally, it is thought that 5.8S rRNA may be involved in ribosome translocation. Lineage: Eukaryota; Viridiplantae; Streptophyta; Magnoliopsida; Ericales; Sapotaceae. The record is from RNAcentral.
UAACGACUCUCGGCAACGGAUAUCUCGGCUCUUGCAUCGAUGAAGAACGUAGCGAAAUGCGAUACUUGGUGUGAAUUGCAGAAUCCCGUGAACCAUCGAGUCUUUGAACGCAAGUUGCGCCCGAAGCCAUUAGGUCCAGGGCACGUCUGCCUGGGCGUCUCACA